Molecule: ribosomal RNA, 253 nt
Filed under: uncultured bacterium
Lineage: Bacteria
Description: partial 16S ribosomal RNA
Rfam family: Bacterial small subunit ribosomal RNA
Source: RNAcentral
UACGUAGGGUGCAAGCGUUGUCCGGAAUUAUUGGGCGUAAAGAGCUUGUAGGCGGUUUGUCGCGUCUGCUGUGAAAUUUCGGGGCUCAACCCCGAACUUGCAGUGGGUACGGGCAGACUAGAGUCCGGUAGGGGACCAUGGAAUUCCUGGUGUAGCGGUGAAAUGCGCAGAUAUCAGGAGGAACACCGGUGGCGAAGGCGGUGGUCUGGGCCGGCACUGACGCUGAGGAGCGAAAGCGUGGGGAGCGAACAGG